Molecule: ribosomal RNA, 858 nt
Filed under: Helotiales sp.
Lineage: Eukaryota; Fungi; Ascomycota; Leotiomycetes; Helotiales
Description: partial large subunit ribosomal RNA
Rfam family: Eukaryotic large subunit ribosomal RNA
Source: RNAcentral
GAUUGCCUCAGUAACGGCGAGUGAAGCGGCAACAGCUCAAAUUUGAAAUCUGGGUCUUUCAGGCUCCGAGUUGUAAUUUGUAGAAGAUGCUUCGGGUGUGGCUCCGGUCUAAGUUCCUUGGAACAGGACGUCAUAGAGGGUGAGAAUCCCGUACGUGACUGGUUGCCUUCGCCCAUGUGAAGCUCUUUCGACGAGUCGAGUUGUUUGGGAAUGCAGCUCAAAAUGGGUGGUAAAUUUCAUCUAAAGCUAAAUAUUGGCCAGAGACCGAUAGCGCACAAGUAGAGUGAUCGAAAGAUGAAAAGCACUUUGGAAAGAGAGUUAAACAGUACGUGAAAUUGUUGAAAGGGAAGCGCUUGCAACCAGACUUGCACGCUGCCGAUCAUCCGGGGUUCUCCCCGGUGCACUCGGUUGCGUUCAGGCCAGCAUCGGUUUGGGUGGUUGGAUAAAGGCCUUGGGAAUGUAGCUUCUUUCGGGGAGUGUUAUAGCCCUCGGUGCAAUGCAGCCUACCCGGACCGAGGACCGCGCUUCGGCUAGGAUGCUGGCGUAAUGGUUGUAAGCGACCCGUCUUGAAACACGGACCAAGGAGUCUAACAUCUAUGCGAGUGUUUGGGUGUCAAACCCAUACGCGUAAUGAAAGUGAACGGAGGUGAGAACCCUUAAGGGUGCAUCAUCGACCGAUCCUGAUGUCUUCGGAUGGAUUUGAGUAAGAGCAUAGCUGUUGGGACCCGAAAGAUGGUGAUCUAUACUUGAAUAGGGUGAAGCCAGAGGAAACUCUGGUGGAGGCUCGCAGCGGUUCUGACGUGCAAUCGAUCGUCAAAUUUGAGUAUAGGGGCGAAAGACUAAUCGAACCAUCUAGUA